AACGCACAUUGCGCCCCCCGGUAUUCCGAGGGGCAUGCCUGUUCGAGCGUCAUUAUCACCCCUCAAGCCUGGCUUGGUGUUGGGGCCUGCCCGUCACACGGCAGCCCUUAAAAGCAGUGGCGGUGCCGUUAGGCUCUAAGCGUAGUAAUACUUCUCGCUACAGAGCCCUGACGGUCUCCUGCCAGAACCCCCCAUUUUUUCAUGAUUGACCUCGGAUCAGGUAGGGUUACCCGCUGAACUUAA
This 243-nucleotide unclassified non-coding RNA is filed under the name uncultured fungus. Its description in RNAcentral is "partial contains 5.8S ribosomal RNA, internal transcribed spacer 2, and large subunit ribosomal RNA". The record is from RNAcentral. Lineage: Eukaryota; Fungi.